AAACCAACAGGGAUUGCCUCAGUAACGGCGAGUGAAGCGGCAAAAGCUCAAAUUUGAAAUCCUCAGGGAAUUGUAAUUUGAAGGUUAACAGAGUUUGAAGGAUUCUUCUUAAGUUCAUUGGAAAAUGACGCCAUAGAGGGUGAUAGCCCCGUAAAGAUCCCCAAAUCCAUCUUAUCCCUCUGUUCUCCAAAGAGUCGAGUUGUUUGGGAAUGCAGCUCUAAGUGGGUGGUAAAUUCCAUCUAAAGCUAAAUAUUGGCGAGAGACCGAUAGCGAACAAGUACAGUGAUGGAAAGAUGAAAAGCACUUUGAAAAGAGAGUGAAAAAGUACGUGAAAUUGUUGAAAGGGAAGGGCUUGCAAGCAGACACAACCUCGUGUUGGGCCAGCAUCGGGGCGAGGGGAAGUAAAAAAGUCAAGAAAUAUAACUCCCUCGGGAGCUUUACAGUCUUUGUCCUACCACUUCCAUCUCAUCCCGAGGCCUGCGAUUCUUCAAGGAUGCUGGCGUAAUGGUUGCAAGUCGCCCGUCUUGA
Molecule: ribosomal RNA, 528 nt
Filed under: Metschnikowia viticola
Lineage: Eukaryota; Fungi; Ascomycota; Pichiomycetes; Serinales; Metschnikowiaceae
Description: eukaryotic LSU rRNA
Rfam family: Eukaryotic large subunit ribosomal RNA
Source: RNAcentral